Molecule: small RNA, 68 nt
Filed under: Actinacidiphila bryophytorum
Lineage: Bacteria; Bacillati; Actinomycetota; Actinomycetes; Kitasatosporales; Streptomycetaceae
Description: ASdes TB sRNA
Rfam family: ASdes TB sRNA
Source: Rfam by way of RNAcentral
AGCUCGACCGGGUCGACGGCCCUGCUGGUGAGCAGGUAGUCGCGCAUGACGAUGGCGUGCCUGCCCUC